This 27-nucleotide small RNA is filed under the name Bombyx mori (domestic silkworm). RNAcentral's name for it is "ovarian small RNA-38408". The record is from RNAcentral. Lineage: Eukaryota; Metazoa; Arthropoda; Insecta; Lepidoptera; Bombycidae.
UUUGGAACAACGAGCUUAAUUUCUUUG